This 708-nucleotide ribosomal RNA is filed under the name uncultured bacterium. RNAcentral describes it as "bacterial SSU rRNA". It matches the Rfam family "Bacterial small subunit ribosomal RNA", at positions 102 to 808 of the family's 1533-position model. The record is from RNAcentral.
ACGGGUGAGUAACACGUGGGUGAUCUGCCCUGCACUUCGGGAUAAGCUUGGGAAACUGGGUCUAAUACCGGAUAGGACCAUGGUUUAGCAUCUCAUGGUGGAAAAAUAUUGUUUUGGUGUAGGAUGAGCCCGCGGCCUAUCAGCUUGUUGGUGGGGUAAUGGCCUACCAAGGCGUCGACGGGUAGCCGGCCUGAGAGGGUGGACGGCCACAUUGGGACUGAGAUACGGCCCAGACUCCUACGGGAGGCAGCAGUGGGGAAUAUUGCACAAUGGGCGCAAGCCUGAUGCAGCGACGCCGCGUGGGGGAUGACGGCCUUCGGGUUGUAAACUCCUUUCGUUAGGGACGAAGCCGCACUUUUUUGGGUGUGGUGACGGUACCUUUGUUAAGAAGCACCGGCUAACUACGUGCCAGCAGCCGCGGUAAUACGUAGGUGGCAAGCGUUGUCCGGAUUUAUUGGGCGUAAAGCGAGCGCAGGCGGUUAGAUAAGUCUGAAGUUAAAGGCUGUGGCUUAACCAUAGUACGCUUUGGAAACUGUUUAACUUGAGUGCAAGAGGGGAGAGUGGAAUUCCAUGUGUAGCGGUGAAAUGCGUAGAUAUAUGGAGGAACACCGGUGGCGAAAGCGGCUCUCUGGCUUGUAACUGACGCUGAGGCUCGAAAGCGUGGGGAGCAAACAGGAUUAGAUACCCUGGUAGUCCACGCCGUAAACG